This 76-nucleotide transfer RNA is filed under the name Sandaracinaceae bacterium. Its description in RNAcentral is "tRNA-Asn". It matches the Rfam family "tRNA". From Rfam's summary of the family: Transfer RNA (tRNA) molecules are approximately 80 nucleotides in length. Their secondary structure includes four short double-helical elements and three loops (D, anti-codon, and T loops). The record is from RNAcentral. Lineage: Bacteria; Pseudomonadati; Myxococcota; Polyangiales; Sandaracinaceae.
UCCGAAAUAGCUCAGUUGGUAGAGCGAUCGACUGUUAAUCGAUUGGUCACAGGUUCGAGUCCUGUUUUCGGAGCCA